Molecule: transfer RNA, 91 nt
Filed under: Olisthopus ericae
Lineage: Eukaryota; Metazoa; Arthropoda; Insecta; Coleoptera; Carabidae
Description: transfer RNA-Leu
Source: RNAcentral
UCUGAAUUACCUAUGCUAUCUAAUUUCUAAUGUGGCAGAUUAGUGCAAUGAAUUUAAGCUUCAUAUAUAAAGUUGUCACUUUUAUUAGAAG